Acipenser ruthenus (sterlet) is the source of this 2618-nucleotide long non-coding RNA. RefSeq lists it as uncharacterized. The record is from RefSeq and is a predicted model, not a curated record. The transcript is spliced from 3 exons. NCBI's taxonomy places the organism in Eukaryota, Metazoa, Chordata, Actinopteri, Acipenseriformes, Acipenseridae.
UCCAAUAGCAAGGCCAAACCAAGUGUGUGUGUGUGAAUUCUGGCCUAGUCAAGUUUUUCCACACUUCAUGACUUCCAAGGCAAUCAGGCCCAAAUGUAGCUUCUCUCUUACAAAUUAAGUCUGUUCGCUUGAUUCUUUUUCUUCAUCUCGCUCUCUUCCUUUCUCUCACUCCAUUUCUCCUCUCUGGAGAGAGACCUUGCAGCCUGGUUGCCAUCUGCUGCCUGUUUUUUUUUUUUUAUGAGGUUGGAAUCAGAUGGCAUGUAAUCGAUCGUCACCAUCUCCAUGGCAACCAGGGUUAUGGCAGAGCAGAGGAGAGACAUUUCUUUAAGCCCUAGGCUGUCAUGGCGUUUAAGUGAGAAAUAAACCAAAGAAAACAAACUUCCUUAAACUUCUGUUAAACCAGAUCAGAAACUGGUUAAUGUGUUUAAAAAAAGUAAAAAGUAAUACAGUAUUAUGCAACUGCCUUUAAAAAGUGAAGCCAUACUCUGCUCAAGGAGAUGAAGAUAGGUCAGGCAAAGCAUUAAGGAGAACAGCUGAUCCUAAAGGCACACCAGACUGGCAUCUUCUGAUGAAAAUACAGGCAGAUGACAUGAAUAGGCUGCCUUUCCUGAGGGAACCUCGCCUAUGCUGCACCAUCCUGCUUUCUGGGGUUCGUGAAUGGUACGUAUAUUUAGUCUAAAAAGGACAUGUCUGGGGAAUACAUUUCUCAUUUUUUACUCAAGAGCAUGGCAGGAGGGAGUAUGAACUGGGUAUACCAUGAUGCUCUGGUGAACACUCUUGAGUCAAAGUUGAGAAAUAUAUCUCCAGCUGAUUUAAGACACUUAAAAAAAAGUAUCCUGAAAUAUCCCGAAGUAUCUCAAUUUUAAAAGGGGCUGCUGUUAAACUGAAAUUCAAUUUCAUGAGAAUAAAACAGGGCCCCACAUGAUCAGAAAGGUGCUUGUUAAAUUUUGCAAUUAUUGACACUGAAAUGGUGAAAUGAGCCAUUCGGGGAAACCCACUAUGGACUUUUGUUUUCAAAGUAAAAAUUGAGAUUGAAAGAUUGAUUGAAAGAGCUGCUGCCAUUGUAAAUCGUUCCUGCAUGUUUUGUUUGUUUUGAUUACAACUUCUUCUGAAAUGAAAUCUAUAUAUUUCUACUGCUGUCAGCUUUGGGGUUCACAUUCUUUGUUGCAUUAAAUCACUUCUCGGUAAAGAACCAACAAGAACCAUUCCUCUUGUAUAAUUGGCUCCUUCAAUUGACAGUCAAAAGUCUGAAAGAUGUAGUCUGGGUUGCUCAGCUCAUCAAACUGGCCAUGUCGUGAUUUUUGCAAUAAGAGGUAAUACAGUGGUUGCUUUUGAAAGUUCACCAUCUGCAAUGUCUCCUCAUUUAAUUCUUAAAGAAGGGUGUCAGUUUUCAGACAAUUAGUAAUUUCAGAGCAAAUUGGGUACAACCCAAUCUAUCAAAAUGUGAUAUUCUGAAGUGAGUUGUACAGCAUUAGCUUCUCAUUUUGUGGGAGUAUGGAUCAUCUUCUAGUUUUUCUAACUAAUUCUGCAUGUACUUUAGCAAUUACACUGAUGUUUAAAUAUUUCAGACAAAUUAAAGAUUAUGAUUGAUUAGAAUAUGGAAUGGAGCUGGUUUUGAUGUAAGGUCUUCCAUUAGCUUAUAAAGGCAUGAUGUCCACUAGCAACAUCCCCUCAGGGGGAGAGAGCAUAAUCUUAUGUGAUAAAAAAAAUGAAAAAAACAUCUUGUAUCUAAAAACAUAUUUUGCCUCAAUGGUAUCAAUCUCAUUGCCUACAUCUGUUUUAUUUUUAUAAUAUAUUUUCUUGAGCAUAAUGUGAAUUUCUGUUUUAACCACUUCAACACCAUGACGUACAUCAAAUGAAAACCCACUUACAGUACCAUGCCAUACGUGCGCACGUCAAGUUUCCCAUUCUAUUCUAUGACCGUUCUUACAAGACUGGAGCCGGUUCUAUCCAUGCUCAGAGAGACAUCAAUGGAUUUAGUUGACCUGGACAGAAUAUAGCCAUUGAUGAGGCACUUGUUUUGUGGAAAGGAAGACUUCACUUUUGGCAGUACAUAAAAACAAAAAGAGCUCGAUUUGGAAUCAAACUUUUCUGCCUGUGUCCCAGUGAUAAAGUCUGAGGGGUUACAUCUGAAAUUUUCAAAUUUACAUCGGCAAGGAUAAAUAUGAAGUCUUUCAUUAUCCAGAAGCAAGUGAACUCAGUUUAUGUGAAAGAAUUGUGGUUUAUUUGGCUGAUCAUGUACCAAACCAAGGGUGUCAUAUUAUUGUUGAUAAUUGGUACAUGUCUACAAGACUAGCAUCAUUUUUGCUUACACAAAAUACGCACAUCACUGGGACUAUUCGAACCAACAAAGGUGUACCAAAGGAAGUAACUGAAGAAAAACUGGACAAAGGACAGGCAUGUUUUGUUAGAAACUCUGAUUUAUUGUUUGUGAGGUGGCACGACAAAAGGGACGUGAAUGUACUGACUACAAUUCCGUUCCUGGAUUACCUUUUACAGUGCUGUGACGAAAUACUAUCAAAACACAGUCCUGGGUAAAAGGCAAUGAGGCAGGCAUCUGCGGCAGCCAGAUCCAUCACAAUUUCUGCGCAAAGUAGCCCUGUACAUGCAUUUGUGAC